CCCUUAGAUGUUCUGGGCCGCACGCGUGCUACACUGAGCGGGCCAACGGGUGAGGAUGUGCGAAAGCGCUUCCCAAUCUCUAAAUCCGCUCGUGCUGGGGAUCGAGGCUUGCAAUUAUCCCUCUUGAACGAGGAAUACCUUGUAAGCACGGGUCAUCAUCCCGUGCUGAAUACGUCCCUGCCCUUUGUACACACCGCCCGUCGCACCUACCGAUUGAAUGGUCCGGUGAAAUCUCGGGACGGCGGCUUGGUCGCUUGCGUCCGACUGCUGAAACUUGAUUAAACCAUAUCAUUUAGAGGAAGGUGAAGUCGUAACA
This 316-nucleotide ribosomal RNA is filed under the name uncultured eukaryote. RNAcentral describes it as "partial 18S ribosomal RNA". It matches the Rfam family "Eukaryotic small subunit ribosomal RNA", at positions 1470 to 1796 of the family's 1831-position model. The record is from RNAcentral.